CUACGGGGUGCACCAGUGAGGAAUAUUGCACAAUGGGGGGAACCCUGAUGCAGCAACGCCGCGUGGAGGAUGACGCAUUUCGGUGUGUAAACUCCUUUUAUAUGUCAAGAGAAUGACGGUAGCAUAUGAAUAAGCACCGGCUAACUCCGUGCCAGCAGCCGCGGUAAUACGGAGGGUGCAAGCGUUACUCGGAAUCACUGGGCGUAAAGGACGCGUAGGCGGGUUGGAAAGUCAGGUGUGAAAUCCUACAGCUUAACUGUAGAACUGCACUUGAAACUUCUAAUCUAGAGUAUGGGAGGGGGAGAUGGCAUUAGUGGUGUAGGGGUAAAAUCCGUAGAUAUCACUAGGAAUACCUAAAGCGAAGGCGAUCUCCUGGAACCUUACUGACGCUAAGGCGUGAAAGCGUGCGGAGCAAACACUACUAGAUACCCCGGUAGUC
RNAcentral lists this ribosomal RNA (439 nucleotides) under uncultured bacterium. RNAcentral's name for it is "partial 16S ribosomal RNA". It matches the Rfam family "Bacterial small subunit ribosomal RNA", at positions 339 to 795 of the family's 1533-position model. The record is from RNAcentral.